RNAcentral lists this ribosomal RNA (659 nucleotides) under uncultured Bacillaceae bacterium. Its description in RNAcentral is "bacterial SSU rRNA". It matches the Rfam family "Bacterial small subunit ribosomal RNA", at positions 28 to 674 of the family's 1533-position model. The record is from RNAcentral. Lineage: Bacteria; Bacillati; Bacillota; Bacilli; Caryophanales; Bacillaceae.
AGUGAACGCUGGCGGUAGGCCUAACACAUGCAAGUCGAACGGCAGCACAGUAAGAGCUUGCUCUUAUGGGUGGCGAGUGGCGGACGGGUGAGGAAUACAUCGGAAUCUACCUUUUCGUGGGGGAUAACGUAGGGAAACUUACGCUAAUACCGCAUACGACCUACGGGUGAAAGCAGGGGAUCUUCGGACCUUGCGCGAUUGAAUGAGCCGAUGUCGGAUUAGCUAGUUGGUGAGGUAAUGGCUCACCAAGGCGACGAUGCGUAGCCGACCUGAGAGGGUGAUCGGCCACACUGGGACUGAGACACGGCCCAGACUCCUACGGGAGGCAGCAGUAGGGAAUCUUCCGCAAUGGACGAAAGUCUGACGGAGCAACGCCGCGUGAACGAAGAAGGCCUUCGGGUCGUAAAGUUCUGUUGUUAGGGAAGAACAAGUACCAGAGCAACUGCUGGUACCUUGACGGUACCUAACCAGAAAGCCACGGCUAACUACGUGCCAGCAGCCGCGGUAAUACGUAGGUGGCAAGCGUUGUCCGGAAUUAUUGGGCGUAAAGCGCGCGCAGGUGGUUCCUUAAGUCUGAUGUGAAAGCCCACGGCUCAACCGUGGAGGGUCAUUGGAAACUGGGGAACUUGAGUGCAGAAGAGGAAAGUGGAAUUCCAAGU